Herpailurus yagouaroundi (jaguarundi) is the source of this 685-nucleotide long non-coding RNA. RefSeq lists it as uncharacterized. Lineage: Eukaryota; Metazoa; Chordata; Mammalia; Carnivora; Felidae. The record is from RefSeq and is a predicted model, not a curated record. The transcript is spliced from 4 exons.
CGCUGGACGAGCCGAGCGCGCGGGGCUCGAAGACGCCGGGCAAGAGACUAAGUGGCCAGGUACUCGACCACACAGCGCAAAAGAAAUUCAGAAUCUCAAGGAACUGUGCUUUUCCUAUCACAUCGGCAGGAAUUCAACAACAAUGACAAUGUAUUCGGUGCGUUCAAGGAACAGUGGAAGCUGCAUCUUCUUUCUCUGCUGGUGCAUAGCUAGGCUUAAAACAAUCUGAGAAGUAUCCCUGACCCUCUGGGAUUACCAAGAAAUUCAACAGAGAGAAACAUAAGUGAACCACAAAGAAGUUCAAAGAAUGUGAAUUUCCAAGAAAUUAAAAGAAUUUAUUAGUGAACCUUACCAUUCACAUGGUCAUGGGGAGAUGAGAGCCUAAAGGAACAUACGGUUGUCUUUGCCUUCCGAAGCUUAUGGAUGAGCUAAGAGUGUAAAGCCACUAAGGUAAAAUCCUGGAGGAAAUGGCCUUUUGCUAGCUGAAAAACUUUUUAUUUGGUGGGGAGGGGAGUAAAGUUAGAUCUUGAUACGAUUUUAUAUAGACAGGGAAGGACUGGAUUUCUUUGUAUAAUAAGGUAGAAAAGGUGUCCUACUUUGUAAAGCUGGGUAAAUGUGUAUUCACUUUAUUAUUCGUAAAUAUGUCUGUAUGCACAUUAUAUUUUGAUUUCUAAAACAAUCCAUU